GAUGAACGCUGGCGGCGUGCCUAAUACAUGCAAGUCGAGCGAACGGACGCGAAGCUUGCUUCUCUGACGUUAGCGGCGGACGGGUGAGUAACACGUGGAUAACCUACCUAUCAGACUGGGAUCACUUCGGGAAACCGUAGCUAAUCCCGGAUAAUAUCUUGAACCGUAUGGUUCAAUAGUGAAAGACGGUCUUGCUGUCACUUAUAGAUGCAUCCGCGCUGCAUUAGCUAGUUGGUAAGGUAACGGCUUACCAAGGGAACGAUGCAUAGCCGACCUGAGAGGGUGAUGGGCCACACUGGAACUGAGACGCGGCACAGAGUCCGACGGGAGGCAGCAGUUGGGAAUCUUGCGCAAUGGGCGAAAGCCUGACGGAGCGACGCCGCGUGAGUGAUGAAGGUCUGCGGAUCGUAAAACUGUGUUAUUAGUGAAGAACAUAUGUGUAAGUAACUGUGCACAUCUUGACGGUACCUAAACAGAAAGCCACGGCUAACUACGU
RNAcentral lists this ribosomal RNA (496 nucleotides) under uncultured bacterium. RNAcentral's name for it is "partial 16S ribosomal RNA". It matches the Rfam family "Bacterial small subunit ribosomal RNA", at positions 28 to 506 of the family's 1533-position model. The record is from RNAcentral.